This 74-nucleotide transfer RNA is filed under the name Planosporangium mesophilum. RNAcentral describes it as "tRNA-Gln". Lineage: Bacteria; Bacillati; Actinomycetota; Actinomycetes; Micromonosporales; Micromonosporaceae. The record is from RNAcentral.
GCUGCCGUGGUCGGGGCCGGCGCGGGGCCGGUGUUCUGACCGGCGGGGACGGUGUUCUGACCGCCCGGCGGGAC